AUGGAUGGAGGCCCGUGGCUGUUCCACAAUGCGGCGGUUAUUUUACAAGAGUAUGAUGGCUUUAGCAAUGUGAAUGAUUAUAGGCUUGAUAGGAUUCCAGUGUGGGCUAGAAUUGAAGGAGUCCCUGAUGGACUGAUGAGAAAAAACGAACUAGCUGAGAAAGUGGCUAGGAAGGUUGGCGGUCCUCCAUUUACACUAAUAGUGAAUGAAGGCUUUAUUAACACCUCGAAGUAUCUGAGGGUGAGGGUGUUUCUAGAUGUGCAGGUUCCUCUUGUCAAAUCUGUGCCGAUAACUUUAAAAGAGAGGAAGAAAUACCAUGUUUAUUAUGAGAAGCUCCCAGAUUAUUGCUAUUUCUGUGGGCUAAUGGGACACCUUGUGGAGGAGUGUGGUGAUGGAGCUCAUGAUCCGGUCAUAAUUCUGCAAGGGGAGGAGGGAGAGGAAGUGGAGAGAGAGGGGGGUCGUGAUGCUAGAGGAAGUGAAGAGAGAGGGGUCGUGAUGCUAGAGGAAGUGAAGAUAGAGGGGGUCGUGAUGCUAGAGGAAGAGGGGGUUGGGGCCGUGGAGGGGGUGGACGUGAGCCAAGGGCUGACCCCCUGCUAUGGUGGACGAACUGGACAGAAACAAAGCAAUGAAGUGGCUGGUUAA
Molecule: ribosomal RNA, 642 nt
Filed under: Triticum aestivum (bread wheat)
Lineage: Eukaryota; Viridiplantae; Streptophyta; Magnoliopsida; Poales; Poaceae
Description: partial small subunit ribosomal RNA
Source: RNAcentral